CCWCAKCAACUACKUGAUGUGYMUCGGYGCYWMGUCAUGCGCAYGCCMUACGCCAUACUUGWCRAUAUUGKCCCCAGAUCGUUACCGUGAUGGAGGRAGGCUGCCMAAGAAAGCAGCCAUUUUCGCUGCUUUGAGAGUGAKCGGAGUUCGAGAAGKAAGGUCAAGAUUCAUGUUCGCMCCCCUACUGGGCGUGGAGUCUUCUGCUGAGGAGCGUASCCGUGUGCUGAGAAMCUCAAGAGUACUUGCGUGAGAAGGCCCGAGCAACUCCGUGAAGAGAUGGGCGUGGCCGAGUUGGUCAAGUURCCCCCCGCCAGCGAGRCUAUYUCCAACACCAAGUCCGAWGCUCGUCUCUUGGCCUCUUUGCAGGGUCAGUCCACWUCCGAGUCCAUCUCUKCCUUCUCCCCCUCUCCCCUAUUCCGGCAGGAAACCCCCMYCCCAWCGRAAAUGGCGCCGAUCUUUUUCCCUGRAAAUGACUCCCCUAGCAGCUUGUGAGAUGGCCCAGAUCGUUUACCGUGAAAAAAWUAGAGUGUUCAAAGCAGGCAGAUCCAAUUUUCUGCCACCGAAUACAUUAGCAUGGGAUAAUGGAAUAGGACCCUGUCCUCCUAUUUUCAGUUGGUUUUGGCAGCGCGAGGACUAGGGKAAUGAUUAAUAGGGAUAGUUGGGGGCAUUAAUAUUUAAUUGUCAGAGGUGAAAUUCUUGGAUUUAUGAAAGAUUAACUUCUGCGAAAGCAUCUGCCAAGGAUGUUUUCAUUAAUCAAGAACGAAAGUUAGGGGAUCGAAGACGAUCAGAUACCGUCGUAGUCUUAACCAUAAAMGAUSCCGACCAGCGAUUAGGAGACGUUGAAUACAAAACACCACCAUCGGCCCCGGUKUUUUYCGGSGWCRCGCUCCCCCAGCACGCGUGAGAGGUCCMGAUCGUYCUUUAGC
Molecule: ribosomal RNA, 926 nt
Filed under: Acanthamoeba sp.
Lineage: Eukaryota; Discosea; Longamoebia; Acanthamoebidae
Description: partial 18S ribosomal RNA
Rfam family: Eukaryotic small subunit ribosomal RNA (bases 341-926)
Source: RNAcentral